UCCCAGACUCCUACGGGAGGCAGCAGUGAGGAAUAUUGGUCAAUGGGCGGGAGCCUGAACCAGCCAAGCCGCGUGAGGGAAGAAGGUACAGCGUAUCGUAAACCUCUUUUGUCAGGGAACAAAGGCGGGGACUAGUCCCCGGAUGAGGGUACCUGAAGAAAAAGCAUCGGCUAACUCCGUGCCAGCAGCCGCGGUAAUACGGAGGAUGCGAGCGUUAUCCGGAUUCACUGGGUGUAAAGGGAGCGUAGACGGCGACGCAAGUCUGGAGUGAAAGCCCGGGGCCCAACCCCGGGACUGCUCUGGAGACUGCGGCGCUGGAGUACGGGAGGGGCAGGCGGAAUUCCUGGUGUAGCGGUGAAAUGCGUAGAUAUCAGGAGGAACACCGGCGGCGAAGGCGGCCUGCUGGACCGUGACUGACGUUGAGGCUCGAGAGCGUGGGGAGCAAACAGGAUUAGAUACCCCGGUA
Molecule: ribosomal RNA, 466 nt
Filed under: uncultured bacterium
Lineage: Bacteria
Description: partial 16S ribosomal RNA
Rfam family: Bacterial small subunit ribosomal RNA
Source: RNAcentral